This 70-nucleotide transfer RNA is filed under the name Trichonephila inaurata madagascariensis. RNAcentral describes it as "tRNA-Cys". It matches the Rfam family "tRNA". Rfam says of the family: Transfer RNA (tRNA) molecules are approximately 80 nucleotides in length. Their secondary structure includes four short double-helical elements and three loops (D, anti-codon, and T loops). Lineage: Eukaryota; Metazoa; Arthropoda; Arachnida; Araneae; Nephilidae. The record is from RNAcentral.
GGAUGUAUAGCUCAGUGGUAGAGCAUUCGACUGCAGAUCGAGAAGUCCCCGGUUCAAAAUCGGGUGUCCC